RNAcentral lists this unclassified non-coding RNA (345 nucleotides) under soil metagenome. Its description in RNAcentral is "partial contains 5.8S ribosomal RNA, internal transcribed spacer 2, and large subunit ribosomal RNA". The stretch from base 1 to 119 matches the Rfam family "5.8S ribosomal RNA", at positions 35 to 154 of the family's 154-position model. The record is from RNAcentral.
GAUGAAGAACGUAGCGAAAUGCGAUACGUAAUGUGAAUUGCAAAUUCAGUGAAUCAUCGAGUCUUUGAACGCACAUUGCGCCCCCUGGUAUUCCGGGGGGCAUGCCUGUCCGAGCGUCAUUGCUGCCCUCAAGCCCGGCUUGUGUGUUGGGCCCCGUCCUCCGAUUCCGGGGGACGGGCCCGAAAGGCAGCGGCGGCACCGCGUCCGGUCCUCGAGCGUAUGGGGCUUUGUCACCCGCUCUGUAGGCCCGGCCGGCGCUUGCCGAUCAACCCAAAUUUUUAUCCAGGUUGACCUCGGAUCAGGUAGGGAUACCCGCUGAACUUAAGCAUAUCAAUAAGCGGAGGA